This 1593-nucleotide long non-coding RNA is filed under the name Monomorium pharaonis (pharaoh ant). RNAcentral's name for it is "uncharacterized LOC114254259". Lineage: Eukaryota; Metazoa; Arthropoda; Insecta; Hymenoptera; Formicidae. The record is from RNAcentral.
CACGCUCCAGCGCCGGUCGGACGCAUUGUCGACUCCAUGCGUGCUCGCGUGUUGAGAAUUCAUUGUGCGCAGGUACGGUGCUGCGUCGAGAAUGCCGUCGCGUUAACAGACGACCCGCGAGGCACCGCGAGGCAUCGUGCGUUCGGUUUCGAGUGAAGUGUUCGCAUACGCAUUCGAGCAAAGUGUACGUGAAGAGGAUAGAAUAUCGCGUAGAAUACACGUAGAAAACGUAGAAUAAACGUUCGGUAGAAUAUCGCGAGUGAAUUAAGUGAAGUGCUUCUAGUCGUCGUGCGAGCUUACGAAAUUCCAUAUUUUCGAAACGAAUUUGUCUCCGUUUGUUAUAUCUCGGCGCGUAAUUUUUAUUUAAACGGUUUUCUCGGCCUGCGUUUUCACAAAGUUACGUGACCUUACGCCACUUUCGUGCCAUGUUGAUUUUCGUUCCGGACAAAGUUUUCGUGUGCGCGUAUUCGCUCGAAGAGGGUACACAAUCCGUUCGGUAGAAUGUCGAUCGUGCCAAUAAUGAAAGUUUAUUAGUCGUCGCAUUUAUUUAUGUCAUAUUAAAUUUAUUUUAUUUAUUUUAUUUGUUCGAAAAUACAACUAAAAUUUUCACAUAAUUUAAUCUUUUAUAAUUUAAUUUUUUAUCAACGUGAGAUACGUCGGUAAGUAAUCGACGUGCGACGUGCGAUAAUAGUACCGAUCGUGGGACACGGAAUUAAAUACAGGCUUUCGUUUCGAGAUGUCACUACCGACGCGAGAUUGAAUCAUUAGCUCCUUGAUACAGCACGCGUUCGUAAUAAAAGUCUUUUCAACAGUUUAACUGUGUGUUCUCUGUAACUGCAUCAGUAUUGUACUUUGUUAAAAUGUGACGGAUACACGAUUACAUGAGUGCGAGAAAGAGAUAAAGUUUUUUGAUCGCAAACGCAUUUCUGCUGUCUUUUCAAUCACUUUAUUCGAACGUGACACUGUGUGACAAAACGCGCGCCGACAUUUUGGUUACGUUUCGAAAUUUGCAGAAUGUUCGUCGCGUUCGUAACGUGAAUUAUAUAGAUGUUGAAUACUACCGAUGUUAUUUCGAAACUCGUGCCUCGUUCGGAUUGGAACAUCGCAUUUCGUCGAGCGUACCAGCGUUUCAUCGCGCCGCGUUUUCGGGAGUGCUGACCGACAUUUAAUUAAAAACGAACCGCAGCCGGUUCGUCGCGUCGCGCGUUUACUUAAUUCAGGAAUGCCGUUCAAAUAAAUGAACUAUUACGUAUUAUUCGCGUGUGUCCUGUGCAACAAGAGGAGCAUAAGAUGCAGGCCUGGGAAAGGCAUCGGGCCUGGGCAGAGCAACCUUAGGAACCAUAGUAGCGAAGUGUCCUGUGCAACGAGAGGAGGAGGAGACCUGGGAAAGGUAAUUAAAUGACAAAGCAGAGAAUGAAUUUUAUGUCUACAUCAUUUUAUGUCUAUGUCUACAUCUACGCCUUAUUAUCUAUUCUACGAGUCAAAGUUCACUCCAGACUCCAUAUGAAAGAUUGAUAAUUUAAAAAGAAGACAAUCUAAUAGAGACAAAGUAAUAAACUUAUGUUGAAUAUAUUAAAAUUACGAAGGAAGGGU